Molecule: ribosomal RNA, 253 nt
Filed under: uncultured bacterium
Lineage: Bacteria
Description: partial 16S ribosomal RNA
Rfam family: Bacterial small subunit ribosomal RNA
Source: RNAcentral
UACGUAGGGUGCAAGCGUUAAUCGGAAUUACUGGGCGUAAAGCGUGCGCAGGCGGCUAUGCAAGACAGAUGUGAAAUCCCCGGGCUCAACCUGGGAACUGCAUUUGUGACUGCAUGGCUAGAGUACGGUAGAGGGGGAUGGAAUUCCGCGUGUAGCAGUGAAAUGCGUAGAUAUGCGGAGGAACACCGAUGGCGAAGGCGAUCCCCUGGACCUGUACUGACGCUCAUGCACGAAAGCGUGGGGAGCAAACAGG